This 70-nucleotide transfer RNA is filed under the name Camelus dromedarius (Arabian camel). It matches the Rfam family "tRNA". Rfam says of the family: Transfer RNA (tRNA) molecules are approximately 80 nucleotides in length. Their secondary structure includes four short double-helical elements and three loops (D, anti-codon, and T loops). Lineage: Eukaryota; Metazoa; Chordata; Mammalia; Artiodactyla; Camelidae. The record is from Rfam by way of RNAcentral. RNAcentral also lists the same sequence under 1 other name.
GGGGACAGCUCAGUGGUAGAGUGUGUGCUUAGCAUGCGCAAGGUCCUGGGUUCAAUCCCCAGUGCCUCCG